This 468-nucleotide ribosomal RNA is filed under the name uncultured bacterium. RNAcentral's name for it is "partial 16S ribosomal RNA". It matches the Rfam family "Bacterial small subunit ribosomal RNA", at positions 38 to 507 of the family's 1533-position model. The record is from RNAcentral.
GAAGAAAGAGGGGGGCGUGCUUAACACAUGCAAGUCGAACGGAAAGGCCCUGCUUUUGUGGGGUGCUCGAGUGGCGAACGGGUGAGUAACACGUGAGUAACCUGCCCUUGACUUUGGGAUAACUUCAGGAAACUGGGGCUAAUACCGGAUAGGAGCUCCUGCUGCAUGGUGGGGGUUGGAAAGUUUCGGCGGUUGGGGAUGGACUCGCGGCUUAUCAGCUUGUUGGUGGGGUAGUGGCUUACCAAGGCUUUGACGGGUAGCCGGCCUGAGAGGGUGACCGGCCACAUUGGGACUGAGAUACGGCCCAGACUCCUACGGGAGGCAGCAGUGGGGAAUAUUGCACAAUGGGCGGAAGCCUGAUGCAGCAACGCCGCGUGCGGGAUGACGGCCUUCGGGUUGUAAACCGCUUUCGCCUGUGACGAAGCGUGAGUGACGGUAAUGGGUAAAGAAGCACCGGCUAACUACGUG